UACGGAGGUGGCGAGCGUUGUCCGAAGUUACUGGGCGUAAAGCGCGCGUAGGCGGGGGAUUAAGUGAGAAGUGAAAGGCUGGGGCUCAACUCCAUGCAGUGCUUCUCAUACUGGUCUUCUUGAGGGGGGUAGAGAGAAGUGGAAUGGCUGGUGUAGCGGUGAAAUGCGUAGAUAUCAGUCGGAACACCUGUGGCGAAAGCGGCUCACUGGACCACAACUGACGCUGAGGCGCGAAAGCUAGGGGAGCAAACAGG
Molecule: ribosomal RNA, 254 nt
Filed under: uncultured bacterium
Lineage: Bacteria
Description: partial 16S ribosomal RNA
Rfam family: Bacterial small subunit ribosomal RNA
Source: RNAcentral